Molecule: ribosomal RNA, 748 nt
Filed under: uncultured bacterium
Lineage: Bacteria
Description: bacterial SSU rRNA
Rfam family: Bacterial small subunit ribosomal RNA
Source: RNAcentral
AGAGUUUGAUCAUGGCUCAGGAUAAACGCUGGCGGCGUGCCUAAUGCAUGCAAGUCGAACGAGGUGGCAACACCUAGUGGCAAACGGGUGAGUAACACGUGGGGAUCUGCCCAAAAGUGGGGAAUAACUCCUCGAAAGAGGCGCUAAUACCGCAUAAGCUCCGUAAGGAGUAAAGAAGCAAUUCGCUUUUGGAGGAACCUGCGGCUGAUUAGCUAGUUGGUGGGGUAAAGGCCUACCAAGGCGAUGAUCAGUAGCUGGUCUGAGAGGAUGGACAGCCACACUGGGACUGCGAUACGGCCCAGACUCCUACGGGAGGCAGCAGCAAGGAAUUUUCGGCAAUGGGGGCAACCCUGACCGAGCAACGCCGCGUGGGCGAAGAAGUCUUUCGGGAUGUAAAGCCCUUUUCUGUGGGAAGAAGGAAAGACGGUACCACAGGAAUAAGCAUCGGCUAACUACGUGCCAGCAGCCGCGGUAAUACGUAGGAUGCAAGCGUUGUCCGGAAUUACUGGGCGUAAAGGGCGAGUAGGCGGCCCCGCAAGUCAGAUGUGAAAUAGCCCGGCUUAACCGGGAGGGGUCAUUUGAAACUGCGGAGCUAGAGUGCAGGAGAGGCUAGCGGAAUUCCCGGUGUAGUGGUGAAAUGCGUAGAUAUCGGGAGGAACACCAGUGGCGAAGGCGGCUAGCUGGCCUGUAACUGACGCUGAGGCGCGAAGGCUAGGGGAGCGAACAGGAUUAGAUACCCUAGUAGUCC